This 253-nucleotide ribosomal RNA is filed under the name uncultured bacterium. Its description in RNAcentral is "partial 16S ribosomal RNA". It matches the Rfam family "Bacterial small subunit ribosomal RNA", at positions 524 to 776 of the family's 1533-position model. The record is from RNAcentral.
UACGUAGGGGGCAAGCGUUGUCCGGAAUCAUUGGGCGUAAAGAGCGUGUAGGCGGCCAGAUAAGUCCGCUGUGAAAUCUCGAGGCUCAACUUCGAGCUGUCGGUGGAAACUGUCUGGCUAGAGUCCGGAAGAGGAGAAUGGAAUUCCUGGUGUAGCGGUGAAAUGCGCAGAUAUCAGGAGGAACACCGGUGGCGAAGGCGGUCAUCUGGGCCAGUACUGACGCUGAGGAGCGAAAGCGUGGGGAGCGAACAGG